UACGAAGGGUGCUAGCGUUGUUCGGAAUCACUGGGCGUAAAGCGCGCGUAGGCGGCUAUUCAAGUCAGAGGUGAAAGCCUGGAGCUCAACUCCAGAAUUGCCUUUGAAACUGUGUAGCUAGAGUGUCGGAGGGGAUAGCGGAAUUGCUAAUGUAGAGGUGAAAUUCGUAGAUAUUAGCAGGAACACCGGUGGCGAAGGCGGCUAUCUGGACGACAACUGACGCUGAGGCGCGAAAGCGUGGGGAUCAAACAGG
RNAcentral lists this ribosomal RNA (253 nucleotides) under uncultured bacterium. RNAcentral describes it as "partial 16S ribosomal RNA". It matches the Rfam family "Bacterial small subunit ribosomal RNA", at positions 524 to 776 of the family's 1533-position model. The record is from RNAcentral.